GGAAGUGGAUAGGAUCUGGUGGUCCUUGCGGACUUCAAAUCCGUCAAACCCAAUUUUAUUGGGUUGGCAGGUUCGAUUCCUGCCCCUUCC
This 90-nucleotide transfer RNA is filed under the name candidate division Zixibacteria bacterium RBG-1. RNAcentral describes it as "Selenocysteine transfer RNA". It matches the Rfam family "Selenocysteine transfer RNA". Lineage: Bacteria; Pseudomonadati; Candidatus Zixiibacteriota. The record is from Rfam by way of RNAcentral.